Triticum aestivum (bread wheat) is the source of this 1806-nucleotide long non-coding RNA. RefSeq lists it as uncharacterized. The transcript is spliced from 4 exons. NCBI's taxonomy places the organism in Eukaryota, Viridiplantae, Streptophyta, Magnoliopsida, Poales, Poaceae. The record is from RefSeq and is a predicted model, not a curated record.
UCCUCACAGAUCGAAUCUCUCUCCCAGACCUGUGCGCCUCUCCCAGCACCGGAGGCCAGCCGCCGCCGUCCCUCCCGCGCCCCUGCACCGCGCUCCUCCUGCUCUCUGCCCCAUCUAUCCCUCCGGCAGCCGCGCCUCUCCCUCCGGCGACCGCACCUCUCCCUGCCUCCUCCGUUCGUCCCUGCCCCAGCGUCCUUUGCCCUUACCCUAACCCUAGCUCCUCGAGGAUCGAGGCAGAAAACGGCGGCGCUCUGAUCCAGCCCCUAGAAGAAACGGAACAAUAGACUGAACUAUGAGCCGCCGCCGUUGCUCGCCGGCAUCGGCACCACCGCUGGAAGACGAGGACCUUCUCCAGGAGAUCCUCCUGCGCCUCCCUCCCUCCCUCGUGCGUCCGCCGUCUGCAAGCGCUGGCGCAGCAUCCUCUCUGACCCCCAAUUCGUCCAACGCUUCCGCAAACACCAUGGAAAACCCCCACUCAUCGGCUUCUUCAGCCAAAGAUAUGGCGUAUUCUGUGACUUCAAACCCGUCCUGGAACUGCCUGACCGCAUACAUGCCCAUCGUUUCUCCAUGCCCAAGAGCCGCAGCUCAAUGGAGCAGUGGCGCUUCAUGGGCGGCCGCAACGGGCUCGCUGUCCUGAUCAACGAGUGUCGGCGCGAGGCCGUCGUGUGGGAUCCUCUCUCCGGCCGGCAACAUCGCGUGCCUUUCCCACCAGGACUCCACGAUGCCCUAACGGGUAGUUUCUGUGUAUGGCAUGCCUCGGUGUUGUGCGCUGAUGCCGAACAUGGGCACGUGCUUGGCGAUUGCAUCUUGGUCCCGUUCAAAUUGGUCUUGAUCUGCAAUGGAUACAACCAGGCAUUUGGUUCUCUCUAUGACUCGUCGUCUAGUUCUUGGGGAAAUAUUUUCUCGACGGCGAUAGCAAAUGAAAUUUAUGCCAGAAGGGGCAGCAUCCUUGUUGGAAAUGUGCUUUGCUAGUUUAUUUGUGGAGGUGAUGUCCUUGUGUUUGACAUCCAAAUGCAGAGUCUUGGUGUGAUCGAGAAGCCGGCAGACAACCAUGUUACCAUUGACUUGUUUUUUCAGCUCUUGCGGACGGAGAAUAGUGGACUAGGCCUUGCUGUUUUGUCGGAACGGAUCAUCCAAUUAUGGGAGAGGAAACCUAACUGUGAUGGUGUUGUCGGAUGGGUGUUGCUGUAGAAAACCAUUCCUUUGAAGGGGUUGCUUCCAAGCACAAAGCCUUUGGUACUUAUCGUGGGGUAUGAUGAGGACACAAAUGUGAUUGUUCUGUCUACGGGGAUUGGCAACUUCAUGCUCCAACUUGACUCAGUGCAGAUCAAACAUAUCAUUAAAAGAAAUGGCAUGUGCAUCGACAUGUUUUAUCCCUACCAUAAUUUCUACACUGCAGGCAGGGGAGUUGGGUGGAAAUGGGUGGAGCUGGAACUUUGAACUCUUGUGAUCUAGUAAUGUGCUAUCUUGGUUGAAUGAGUGAGGUACCCAGGGUUAUACAUGGGUUGCUAAAAUGAAGAAAAAUGUCUAAUUUGUUUGGUCUCCUCCAUAUGCUGAAGCAUGCGAUGUGGUUGACGCUAAGAUUGCACCUCUGUAGUAUGUCGGUUGUUCUACUUUUAUGUACGGUUGUAGAUUGCACCUCUGUAGUAUGUCGGUUGUUCUACUUUCAUGUACGGUUGUCUGGGAAGUGGACUUUGUUGGAUUUAAUUGUCUGAGCUUGUGUUUGUUAUUAAUGACUUGUAGAGUUGCUUGGGUUAAUUGUCUUUGUGAAGUCAGUAUCUAUAUACAAUUUAUCUUCUGAGUCUU